RNAcentral lists this long non-coding RNA (306 nucleotides) under Carica papaya (papaya). Its description in RNAcentral is "long non-coding RNA (CPAP_LNC003968)". The record is from RNAcentral. Lineage: Eukaryota; Viridiplantae; Streptophyta; Magnoliopsida; Brassicales; Caricaceae.
CGGUACCUACAAAUGUCCCAAAUAAACCUAAAAAUCAAUCCCAAGGCCUACUCGGCCAAUUUUCAAAAUCCGGCACGGCGGCUCCGCUGUACUCUGGCAACGAUGCCGCCGCCCGCGGCACCGGUUCACCUCAGGUCGACCAUUUUUGGCCGAAUUCGGUCGAUGUUACAUCAAUUUCUAUGAGCACACACACUAAAGGGCCUCGGUGGGCUGAAAAAUACGAAAAACAAAAACUCACCAGCAGCGGGGCUCUCCGGUGCGGCUACUCCUCCGGCUCACAUUGUGCUUGGGUGUUUCGCUUUGAUC